GCCAGGCAUGGUGGCGCAUGCAUGUAAUCCCAGCAACUUGAGAGGCUGAGGCAGGAGGAUCAUGAGUUCAAAGCCAGCCUCAGCAAAAGCGAGGCCCUAAGCAACUUAGUAAGACCCUGUCUCUA
RNAcentral lists this small RNA (125 nucleotides) under Marmota monax (woodchuck). Lineage: Eukaryota; Metazoa; Chordata; Mammalia; Rodentia; Sciuridae. The record is from RNAcentral.